UACAGAGGGGGCAAGCGUUGUUCGGAAUUACUGGGCGUAAAGGGCGCGUAGGCGGCCUUCUAAGUCGAACGUGAAAUCCCCGGGCUCAACCCGGGAACUGCGUCCGAUACUGGAAGGCUUGAAUCCGGGAGAGGGAUGCGGAAUUCCAGGUGUAGCGGUGAAAUGCGUAGAUAUCUGGAGGAACACCGGUGGCGAAGGCGGCAUCCUGGACCGGCAUUGACGCUAAAGCGCGAAAGCCAGGGGAGCAAACGGG
RNAcentral lists this ribosomal RNA (253 nucleotides) under uncultured bacterium. RNAcentral's name for it is "partial 16S ribosomal RNA". It matches the Rfam family "Bacterial small subunit ribosomal RNA", at positions 524 to 776 of the family's 1533-position model. The record is from RNAcentral.